This 154-nucleotide ribosomal RNA is filed under the name uncultured bacterium. RNAcentral's name for it is "partial 16S ribosomal RNA". It matches the Rfam family "Bacterial small subunit ribosomal RNA", at positions 338 to 509 of the family's 1533-position model. The record is from RNAcentral.
CCUACGGGAGGCAGCAGUGGGGAAUAUUGCACAAUGGGCGAAAGCCUGAUGCAGCAACGCCGCGUGAGCGAUGAAGGCCUUCGGGUCGUAAAGCUCUGUCCUCAAGGAAGAUAAUGACGGUACUUGAGGAGGAAGCCCCGGCUAACUACGUGCC